GCCGGGUGCGGUGGCGCGCGCCUGUAAUCCAAGCUCCCGGGAGGCUGAGGCUGGAGGAUCGUUUGAGCUCAGGACCUCUGAGCUGCAGCGGACUAUGUCGAUCAGGUGUCCGCACUAAGUUCGGUAUCGAUAUGGUGCUCCUGGGGGAGCCCGGGACCACCAGGUCGUCUAAGGAGGGGUGCACCGGCCCAGGUCGGAGACGGAGCAGGUCAAAGCCCCCGUGCCGCUCAGUAGUGGGAUCGCGCCUGUGAAUAGACGCUGUAGUGCAGCCUGAGUAACACAGCGGGACCCAGUCUUUA
RNAcentral lists this signal recognition particle RNA (299 nucleotides) under Sparus aurata (gilthead seabream). RNAcentral's name for it is "Metazoan signal recognition particle RNA (ENSSAUG00010005933.1)". It matches the Rfam family "Metazoan signal recognition particle RNA". Rfam says of the family: The signal recognition particle (SRP) is a universally conserved ribonucleoprotein. It is involved in the co-translational targeting of proteins to membranes. The eukaryotic SRP consists of a 300-nucleotide 7S RNA and six proteins: SRPs 72, 68, 54, 19, 14, and 9. The record is from Rfam by way of RNAcentral. Lineage: Eukaryota; Metazoa; Chordata; Actinopteri; Spariformes; Sparidae.